This is a long non-coding RNA of Phyllostomus discolor (pale spear-nosed bat), 290 nucleotides long. RefSeq lists it as uncharacterized. NCBI's taxonomy places the organism in Eukaryota, Metazoa, Chordata, Mammalia, Chiroptera, Phyllostomidae. The transcript has 3 exons. The record is from RefSeq and is a predicted model, not a curated record.
CCCCCAACUUCCAGUAUCAUUUACUUUUCCUAGAAUCUAGAUACAAUUAACUGUAGCAGGACAGUGCUCGAUACUAUUUAAGCAGCAUUUUAAGUUCUUUAAAUUAGCUCAUCAUUUGUAAACAUGAAUUCACAUUUUAGUAAAAAUGGAAACUAGAAUUUGACAUAACAAAUUUACUAAAUAUUGUUGUUAACUACAAAAUUUUUAUGUGAAACACGUGGUCUUAAUAUACCAGAAUUUGGCCUUUAUAAGUUAGCUUACACAUGAAAACUUUUACUGUAUAGGUCCUA